Molecule: non-coding RNA, 552 nt
Organism: Drosophila melanogaster (fruit fly)
Lineage: Eukaryota; Metazoa; Arthropoda; Insecta; Diptera; Drosophilidae
Source: Ensembl
GUUUGUCGAGUGCAUCUCGCACGCUCCACUCGAGUGAAUAAGUGCCAAGGUUGAAUUUGACUUGUGUAACCGAGCUAUGGAGCAGAGUGGCCGCAGCGGAGGGGCAGAGACCCCGCUCACAAGCUGUGACACACACAGCUGGAAAGAGAUCGAGAAUGAUGUCGUCACUAGCCCUAGAAUUUCCAAGUUCCCGAAUCAGCCGUUGGGCAAUAGCUUCAGAUACAUUUUGUAUCCGGGGAGCCUAGGAAAGCACUUUCCGUUUGUAUCGCCGCUCUUCCACGCUGACCAUUUAUCCAAAAUCCCAGGCGUUCAGUGAUCUGGUGGAAGUACUUACGUUAUGGAUAAAUUUGAUUUUUACUGUGCACUUGGAGAAAACAAUUAGUUAAGAACUCAAACAAAAUUAAGCUUUAAAGCAACGAUUUCAAUUUUUUCGUUGCCUAAUAGGUACAACUAAAAACUGUAUAUUAUAACUUGUUCCUAAUAAUAUUCCGUUAAUAAUAAAAAACUAAAAAAGCAGGCAUGCGUGUAUAAGCUUUAAACUAACCAAUUUAC